AGAGUUUGAUCCUGGCUCAGGAUGAACGCUAGCGGCAGGCCUAACACAUGCAAGUCGAGGGGCAGCACGAAUUAGCUUGCUAAUUUGGUGGCGACCGGCGCACGGGUGCGUAACGCGUAUGCAACCUACCUUAUACAGGGGUAUAGCCCGGAGAAAUUCGGAUUAAUCCCCCAUGGUACUGAUUGAUCGCAUGAUUAAUCAGUUAAAGCUUCGGCGGUAUAAGAUGGGCAUGCGUCCUAUUAGCUAGAUGGUAAGGUAACGGCUUACCAUGGCUACGAUAGGUAGGGGGCCUGAGAGGGUGACCCCCCACACUGGUACUGAGACACGGACCAGACUCCUACGGGAGGCAGCAGUGAGGAAUAUUGGUCAAUGGGCGCAAGCCUGAACCAGCCAUGCCGCGUGCAGGAAGAAUGCCCUAUGGGUUGUAAACUGCUUUUAUUUGGGAAUAAACCUUUCUACAUGUAGAAAGCUGAAGGUACCAAAUGAAUAAGCACCGGCUAACUCCGUGCCAGCAGCCGCGGUAAUACGGAGGGUGCAAGCGUUAUCCGGAAUCAUUGGGUUUAAAGGGUCCGCAGGCGGAUUUAUAAGUCAGUGGUGAAAGCCUACAGCUUAACUGUAGAACUGCCAUUGAUACUGUAAGUCUUGAAUUCGGUCGAAGUGGGCGGAAUGUGUAGUGUAGCGGUGAAAUGCAUAGAUAUUACACAGAACACCGAUAGCGAAGGCAGCUCACUAGGCCUGGAUUGACGCUCAGGGACGAAAGCGUGGGGAUCAAACAGGAUUAGAUACCCUGGUAGUCCACGCUGUAAACGAUGAUUACUCGUUUUCGGCGAUAUACAGUCGGAGACUAAGCGAAAGUGAUAAGUAAUCCACCUGGGGAGUACGAUCGCAAGGGUUGAAACUCAAAGGAAUUGACGGGGGCCCGCAC
Molecule: ribosomal RNA, 925 nt
Filed under: uncultured bacterium
Lineage: Bacteria
Description: bacterial SSU rRNA
Rfam family: Bacterial small subunit ribosomal RNA
Source: RNAcentral